Molecule: long non-coding RNA, 539 nt
Organism: Rhagoletis zephyria (snowberry fruit fly)
Lineage: Eukaryota; Metazoa; Arthropoda; Insecta; Diptera; Tephritidae
Source: RefSeq, a predicted model, not a curated record
UUUUCAUAGAGUAUUGUCGCAAUAGAAGUGAUUUAUGUGUCUGAUUUCAGUUUUAUUAAUUAUAAAUAUCGCUUCAUAUACAUAUGUAAGUAUUUAAAUUCAGGCUUGCAAAGUCUUUUACAUAUUCGUAUAAUAAUUCAUUAUCGACAUUGGUUACGUCAUCUCUUUGAAUGAUGUAUGCGUGAAAAUAUUAUGUCGAUGAAAUGUCCCCUUCAUUUGUAAAUAGCUCCACAAAAGGGAAAUUUCCGUAACUUAACAACACUGCUUGGAAAUAUAAAAAAAGUGUCAAAAAAUGCAGAAACUAUAAAAUGAAGUGAAGUGAAUUACAAAAUAUGCAGCUAUUGUAUAUUACGUGCGUUCAUAAAAGCGAGCUACGCAGUUGCUACGAAGCUCUGCAAUUGGCUAUUUGUGCACAAGUUGGAGCGUUUUGCAGUGGCUUGGAUAAUAAGUGCAACCCCGCUACCUGAUCGUCCUCGCCAGCGCCGUUUAGGUCGGCGAAGUAUCUCAGAAGUUGUCCGUCCAUAGGGCAACAUUCACUA